UGACCUCAAAUCAGGUAGGACUACCCGCUGAACUUAAGCA
RNAcentral lists this ribosomal RNA (40 nucleotides) under Tricholoma cf. equestre UP533. RNAcentral describes it as "partial 28S ribosomal RNA". RNAcentral also lists the same sequence under 13 other names. The record is from RNAcentral. Lineage: Eukaryota; Fungi; Basidiomycota; Agaricomycetes; Agaricales; Tricholomataceae.